Molecule: long non-coding RNA, 772 nt
Organism: Plodia interpunctella (Indianmeal moth)
Lineage: Eukaryota; Metazoa; Arthropoda; Insecta; Lepidoptera; Pyralidae
Exons: 2
Source: RefSeq, a predicted model, not a curated record
GGAGACUAUAUCGUUAGUUGCUUGAAAAAUUCUGAAAAAUCAAUCAUUUCUAGAUGGAGAUUGGGACAAAAUGAAGUGGGCCCCGUUUGUUCAGCUACAAAUGUAUUUAUUAGUUUUUGUUAUCGAGCUCGCUAGUAGUCAAGGCGAUGGAGGACAAAAGAUUAAACUUAAAAAGAAGCCUACGUCUAAAAAUUAUCAGGAAUACUACAUAACCAACUGGUCGCAAUAUGGUCUACCUGAACAAACCGACGGCGACACACUAAAAGCUGUACUAGAAGACGUAGCUAGCUAUCUACGUUAUGAAUACUGUCCAUUAGAAAAUACUGUAGAUUGUCUUGACCCAGCAAAGAUGAAAAGUGCAGUUAGCACCAUAGUUCGUAAUUUCCUCGAACACAUGGGAGUAAAACGACACUUAUCACAUCAAACAACAAACACAACAGAAAAUGCAGAUGUAAAAACAAAGAGUUCAUCCGCGUAUUUCAGAAAUUCACGUGAACCAAGUUAUUGCUGUUGUCAAAAAACCAAUGAAAAUAAAAAACACAAUUCUCACUCCUUCAUUUUAGACCACAAAGUGUAUAUAAAUGGGAUAUACAAAAAAAUACCAGCUGGCUACAAGCCUAAACCUAAAGUUGAUACUAAGAACAAGAAAGAUAAGUUUGAAUUGAAAAUUAACACUAAUAAUAAGAAGAAAGACAAUUUAUAUGAAUUCAAUGUUAAUUUGGAGUGGGUAUAAUGUUUUUCUAUUAAAAAUUAAAUACCAUUUAUAUUUAAA